UGGUGGAGUGAUUUGUCUGGUUAAUUCCGAUAACGAACGAGACCUUAACCUGCUAAAUAGAAGGUCGAUUUUCGAAUCGAUGCUUCUUCUUAGAGGGACUAACUACUUUUAGUGGUUGGAAGUUUGAGGCAAUAACA
RNAcentral lists this ribosomal RNA (137 nucleotides) under uncultured eukaryote. Its description in RNAcentral is "partial 18S ribosomal RNA". It matches the Rfam family "Eukaryotic small subunit ribosomal RNA", at positions 1299 to 1458 of the family's 1831-position model. The record is from RNAcentral.